Molecule: small RNA, 2541 nt
Filed under: Pan troglodytes (chimpanzee)
Lineage: Eukaryota; Metazoa; Chordata; Mammalia; Primates; Hominidae
Description: processed transcript
Source: RNAcentral
GUACUCUGAUUGGUGACGGGUGAGGCGGCCCGAAAUCGUAGGACUUCCGAAAGCAGCGGCGGCGUUUGCUUCACUGCUUGGAAGUGUGAGUGCGCGAAGAUGCGAAAGGUGGUUUUGAUCACCGGGGCUAGCAGUGGCAUUGGCCUGGCCCUCUGCAAGCGGCUGCUGGCGGAAGAUGAUGAGCUUCAUCUGUGUUUGGCGUGCAGGAACAUGAGCAAGGCAGAAGCUGUCUGUGCUGCUCUGCUGGCCUCUCACCCCACUGCUGAGGUCACCAUUGUCCAGGUGGAUGUCAGCAACCUGCAGUCGGUCUUCCGGGCCUCCAAGGAACUUAAGCAAAGGUUUCAGAGAUUAGACUGUAUAUAUCUAAAUGCUGGGAUCAUGCCUAAUCCACAACUAAAUAUCAAAGCACUUUUCUUUGGCCUCUUUUCAAGAAAAGUGAUUCAUAUGUUCUCCACAGCUGAAGGCCUGCUGACCCAGGGUGAUAAGAUCACUGCUGAUGGACUUCAGGAGGUGUUUGAGACCAAUGUCUUUGGCCAUUUUAUCCUGGUAAAGAAGCUGUGGGCUUAAUAAGCUAAUAUUUGGUGUGAUCGUUUCCGUAAAGCUCUGGGCACAGGGCAUUAUUAUAGUUGAGCAGCCAGUUAACUGAUUUUAUCUCAUGUUUGAGUUUUCUUGAUUGCAUUUGCCUUGUUUAUUGUGAGCAUGGAAUACUUCUGGAAGCUUUCCUAGUAGAUUUUUCUUUAAUAAAUGUACUAAUAGUUUUUGAUUUACAGAAUUACUGCAAAGAUAGUACAGAGACUUUCUGUAUGCCCUACACCCAGUUUCCCCAUUAUUAACAUUUCGCAUUGGUAUGAUGCAUUUGUCAAAAUAGCUGAAUCAAUUCUGCUACAUUAUUAUUAACUAAAGUACACACUUUAUUCAGGUUCUGUUUUUGCCUAAUGUCUUUUUUCAGUUCUAGGAUCCCAUUCAAGAUACUACAUUACAUUUAGCAGUCAUGUCUCCUUAGGCUCUUCUUGGUUGUGACAGCUUCUCAGACUUUCCUUGUUUUUGAUGACCUUGACAGUUUUGAGGAGUACUGCUUAGGUGUUUUGUAGACUCUCUCAAUCGGGAUUUGUCUGAUGUUUUUCUCAUGGUGAGACUGAAGAAUGUGGUUUUUGGGAGGAAGGCCACAGAGGUAAAGUGACAUUCUCAUGACAUCAUAUCAAGGGUGUAUUCUAUCAGUAUGACUUCUCAGUGUUGAUAUUAACCUUGAUCACCUGGCUUGAGGUCAUGUCUGUCAGGUUUCUCCAUUGUGAAGUUACUUUUUCUUUCUCCCUUUUCAUACUCUACUUUUUGAAAGAAAGUUGGGCCGGGCACGGUGGCUCCUGCCUGUAAUCCCAGCACUUUGGGAGGCCAAGGCGGGCAGAUUACCUGAGGUCAGGAGUUUGAGAUCAGCCUGACCAACAUGGAGAAACCCCAUCUCUAUCAAAAAACAAAAUUAGCCGGGUGUGGUGACGCAUGCCUGUAAUCCCAGCUGCUUGGGAGGCUGAGGCAGAAGAAUCGCUUGAACCCGGGAGGCAGAAGUUGUGAUUCGGGAACUGGAGCCUCUCCUCUGUCACAGUGACAAUCCAUCUCAGCUCAUCUGGACAUCGUCUCGCAAUGCAAGGAAAUCUAAUUUCAGCCUCGAGGACUUCCAGCACAGCAAAGGCAAGGAACCCUACAGCUCUUCCAAAUAUGCCACUGACCUUUUGAGUGUGGCUUUGAACAGGAACUUCAACCAGCAGGGUCUCUAUUCCAAUGUGGCCUGUCCAGGUACAGCAUUGACCAAUUUGACAUAUGGAAUUCUGCCUCCGUUUAUAUGGACGCUGUUGAUGCCGGCCAUAUUGCUACUUCGCUUUUUUGCAAAUGCAUUCACUUUGACACCAUAUAAUGGAACAGAAGCUCUGGUAUGGCUUUUCCACCAAAAGCCUGAAUCUCUCAAUCCUCUGAUCAAAUAUCUGAGUGCCACCACCGGCUUUGGAAGAAAUUACAUUAUGACCCAGAAGAUGGACCUAGAUGAAGACACUGCUGAAAAAUUUUAUCAAAAGUUACUGGAACUGGAAAAGCACAUUAGGGUCACUAUUCAAAAAACAGAUAAUCAGGCCAGGCUCAGUGGCUCAUGCCUAUAAUUCCAGCACUUUGGGAGGCCAAGGCAGAAGGAUCACUUGAGACCAGGAGUUCGAGACCAGCCUGAGAAACAUAGUGAGCCCUUGUCUCUACAAAAAGAAAUAAAAAUAAUAGCUGGGUGUGGUGGCAUGCGCAUGUAGUCCCAGCUACUCAGGGGGAUGAGGUGGGAGGAUCUCUUGAGGCUGGGAGGCAGAGGUUGCAGUGAGCUGAGAUUGUGCCACUGCACUCCAGCCUGGGUGACAGCGAGACCCUGUCUCAAAAUAUGUAUAUAUUUAAUAUAUAUAUAAAACCAGAGCUGACAAUGACACUCUGGAACAUUGCAUACCUUCUGUACAUUCUGGGGUACAUGGAUUUCUACUGAGUUGGAUAAUAUGCAUUUGUAAUAAACUAUGAACUAUG